This 322-nucleotide long non-coding RNA is filed under the name Bos taurus (domestic cattle). Its description in RNAcentral is "long non-coding RNA NONBTAT025907". The record is from RNAcentral. Lineage: Eukaryota; Metazoa; Chordata; Mammalia; Artiodactyla; Bovidae.
UUCCGUCUUGCUUUAACCUAUUUGUCAUAAAUACAGUGUUUCUUGUAUAUGAUUUUAAGAUGUUUGCUAAAUAUUAAAAAUAAUUUCAAUGUGUUCGAUUCUUGUAAAAUUUAUCAUAUUGAACAUGUGUAAAUUUUUGCUAUGUUCAUUGUACUUAAUAAUCUAUAUCCAUAUUUUGGAGUUGAUCAAUAUUUAUUAGUGGACCAUAAAGAAGUUUUGAAUGCAUGAAUAUAACUUGAGAUACCAUGCUUGGUUAUUUUGAAAUGCCAAAAUAACUGUAGGUACUUAUAAAUUGAAUAGAUAAUCCAGAUUAUUUUUCCUC